GGGAAUAUUGGGCAAUGGGCGAAAGCCUGACCCAGCCACGCCGCGUGAGUGAUGAAGGCCUUCGGGUCGUAAAGCUCUGUGGGGAGGGACGAACAAACCGGGCGCUAAUCACCCCGGUCCUGACGGUACCUCCUUAGCAAGCACCGGCUAACCCUGUGCCAGCAGCCGCGGUAAUACAGGGGGUGCAAGCGUUGCUCGGAAUUAUUGGGCGUAAAGCGCGCGUAGGCGGCUACUUAAGUCGGAUGUGAAAGCCCCUGGCUCAACUGGGGAAGUGCACCCGAAACUGAGUAGCUUGAGUGCAAAAGAGGGCUGCGGAAUUCCCGGUGUAGAGGUGAAAUUCGUAGAUAUCGGGAGGAACACCGGUGGCGAAGGCGGCAGCCUGGGUUGACACUGACGCUGAGGCGCGAAAGCGUGGGGAGCAAAC
This 424-nucleotide ribosomal RNA is filed under the name uncultured bacterium. RNAcentral's name for it is "bacterial SSU rRNA". It matches the Rfam family "Bacterial small subunit ribosomal RNA", at positions 357 to 773 of the family's 1533-position model. The record is from RNAcentral.